RNAcentral lists this ribosomal RNA (332 nucleotides) under uncultured eukaryote. RNAcentral's name for it is "partial 18S ribosomal RNA". It matches the Rfam family "Eukaryotic small subunit ribosomal RNA", at positions 1469 to 1796 of the family's 1831-position model. The record is from RNAcentral.
ACCCUUAGAUGUUCUGGGCCGCACGCGCGCUACACUGAUGCAGUCAACGAGUUUCGCCCUGCUUCGAUAGAGGUGGGUAAUCUUCUCAAACUGCAUCGUGCUGGGGAUAGAUUAUUGCAAUUUUUAAUCUUCAACGAGGAAUUCCUAGUAAGCGCAAGUCAUCAGCUUGCGCUGAUUACGUCCCUGCCCUUUGUACACACCGCCCGUCGCUCCUACCGAUUGAAUGGUCCGGUGAAAAUUAGGGACCGUGGCAAUGCCUACUGGGUCACCGGAAGCGCUGCCGUGGGAACUCAUUUAAACCUUAUCAUUUAGAGGAAGGAGAAGUCGUAACA